Brassica oleracea var. oleracea is the source of this 125-nucleotide microRNA precursor. It matches the Rfam family "MIR9563 microRNA precursor family". Lineage: Eukaryota; Viridiplantae; Streptophyta; Magnoliopsida; Brassicales; Brassicaceae. The record is from Rfam.
AGAAAUUAAGAAACUGUUUUUUAACUUUUAACUAAAAAAACUAAGAACCGGUUCUUAAAUAAGGACUAUAAGAACCGGUUCUUAGUUUUUUUAGUUAAAAGUUAAGAAACAGUUUCUUAACUUCC